Molecule: ribosomal RNA, 450 nt
Filed under: Triticum aestivum (bread wheat)
Lineage: Eukaryota; Viridiplantae; Streptophyta; Magnoliopsida; Poales; Poaceae
Description: partial small subunit ribosomal RNA
Source: RNAcentral
AUGGACCUGGAUGGCUUCCCACUUGACCACGAGUUUUCGGAGGACUAUGGCCAAGAGGAAGAGGACGAGUGCGACAUCGAAGGGGAGCCUUUGUUCGAGGACGAGCCCGCCAACCAAGCCGCCGGGCCGAAGCUGAAGCAGAAGAGCAAGUGGACCAAGGCAUACACGGCAGCCAAGGACAAACUUCUUUGCGAGUGUUGGAGAGACAUUGGGCAAGACCCCAAGACGGGCGCCGAACAAAAGCAUUCAACUUUUUGGAUUCAUGUCCAUCGUGAGUUUCAUGAGCUCAAGAAGUUUCCGCCUUACCAAAUAGUGAGCACGCGCGGGUGGGUGUCCAUUUCGAAGCGAUGGAGGGUGAUCCAACAAGAGUGCAACAAGUUCUGUGCCACUCUUGAGAGCGUCAAGGCCCGCCCCGUGAGCGGCAUCGGCAUGCAAGACAUGGUAUGCUAG